RNAcentral lists this long non-coding RNA (244 nucleotides) under Gossypium barbadense (sea-island cotton). RNAcentral's name for it is "long non-coding RNA (GBAR_LNC002170)". Lineage: Eukaryota; Viridiplantae; Streptophyta; Magnoliopsida; Malvales; Malvaceae. The record is from RNAcentral.
GUGGACAGACUGAUGACCAUAAAAAAAUUAGAAAACCAAGAUGACUCACUCGAACAAGGAUUUCCCUAACAACUUCCCAUCUAGCCAAGUAGAAGGUUCUGACAUCGACAAUCGACCCCGAGGGAUAGAUCUUUUUCUUGGCUAGUUUGCUGAUUGGCCAAAAAACUUAAGCAACUUAGGCCAGGGAGGUUCUUUUAAUUCCUUUUAUCUUAAUGCCGCUUCUAGUUAAGGGCCACUCUUUCCC